GGGUCAACAGUUCACCCAGGCGUUGCCGGAGCCCCUUGCUCACGCUAAACCUGCUG
This 56-nucleotide non-coding RNA is filed under the name unclassified sequences. The record is from Rfam.